This 30-nucleotide non-coding RNA is filed under the name Rattus norvegicus (Norway rat). Lineage: Eukaryota; Metazoa; Chordata; Mammalia; Rodentia; Muridae. The record is from RNAcentral.
UAACAUAUGUAGACCUUAAAGACGGAGAAA